Triticum dicoccoides is the source of this 1111-nucleotide long non-coding RNA. RefSeq lists it as uncharacterized. The transcript is spliced from 2 exons. The record is from RefSeq and is a predicted model, not a curated record. Lineage: Eukaryota; Viridiplantae; Streptophyta; Magnoliopsida; Poales; Poaceae.
CACCUCUCGCUGUGGCCGCCGUCUAACUCCUCUCGCUGCUGCCGCCGUCCCCUCACCUCUCGCCGCGCUCUCCGUCCCCUCACCUCUCGCCGCGGCUGCCGCCGUCAUCUCCUGUCGCGGCCGCCUCGUCGCUGCCCCAUCUCCGACAGCGACUGCCGCCCUGCCCAAGACCCCCCCGGCACCCUGGAUCCCGCCACCGCCCGCAGCCCAGCCGACGGCGCCGCCAUCUUCCUGCACCUGAUCGAUGCCCCCAUCUACACUUGUACGCUUUUUUCAGUUGGCACCGUAGGGAUAAUACAAAAAGCAUAUCCUUCAGUUCUGUAGAUAUGUUACAACCUCAUCGAACAUGUCUCCACCGACGUUCUCGGCGCCGUCCACAACUUCAUCGUGUGAGAGCUUCUGCUCCAGAUCCUCUUCCUCCAUGGUGCCCACCCGCUGUGACGACCAUGUCUGCAACCGAAACUGAAGCAUAGUGUUCUUGGAACCAAACUGAAGCAAUGCAACGAGAAAGUACAAAAACAUGGGCUGAAGUACCUUGUCCUGAAGCUCCUAUAGCCACUUCUUUGCCUGGAUGUAGGAAUCUGAUAGAAAAAACAAGGUGUGUCCCUCUACAUAUUCAAGAGGAAAAAUUGAUUGCUGAAAAUGCUUGUGUUUAUUCGCUAUAUGUUUCUUAUUUUAAUUCAGCCCAAUAUCUAAUUUUAGUUCAGUUCAAUUAUCAUUUUGGUUUAAGUUCAAGUCAAUUCUUAUUUUAUUUUAUCGUCUUGUGCUUCCAUCCAUUCUAUGGUCUAGAGCAGCCAUCGUGGUGUUUGUGCCUUCUGACUUGUGCAGUUUGGUUUCUUGGCACACUGUCUUGUGCAUGUGUGUGGCAUUAAUCAACCGUCUAAAGGAGAACGGUGUUCUAAAUUAAAGGAGACACAAGGUCGCCUCCGGCGCUGCUGGUGGCGUGAAGGCCGUCAAAUGGUAAAUUUCCGACCCUUGUAACCUCAGGUACUACUACAAAGCAGAAAGGAUCUCUGUAAGUUAGUUAAUAGCACCAUGAUGUGCCUGUUGUGCUGCAAGACUGCUAGUUCUUCAACUAAAAAUAAAUAUACAUUUCGCUUGGCAUGCUUUC